AAAAAUUCAAUUGCUACCUAAUAAGGAAAGAAAUAUGUGAGAAAAUAUAUGAGUUGAUAGCUCAAUGAAUGGAGAAAUUCAAAAAUAAAUAUACUUUUCCAUUUUACAUUUUUAUCAAAAAUCGAAUUCAUAUCAUUGAAUAAUUCGCAAGAUAACAUCAUAUAAUUAUAACCAAAAUGUAAGACAUUCACAUAACAUCAUAAAAUAUCAUCUCAAAAUCAAGCUAUAAACAUCAAAUAAUAACUAUACUAUAAUUUCAUCAUAUCAAAUAUAUUGAAAAUUUCACAAAAAAUGGACCCUCUAACUAAAAUCUGUAAUUUGCCCUCGGGCUAAAAACUUUCGUCAUGGGCCUUUGGCCCCUUCGUCAAUGAAAAUCGGUGUCAAGACCUCUGAUAAUUAAUUCUAGAACAGGACCAAGGCCUAUCUGUGAACUAUAUGUACACGAUCAAGAUCAAUAUCCAAUCAAGACCCCUCCGUGUAAAAUAAAACACGACUAAGGCCCCUCUAUGAACUAGAAGAAAUAUAUAAUCAUAGGUACUUUUCUGACCGAUCUCAAUAUCACAUAUGUCUCACAUACCAAGUCAUAAAUGUACCAUAAGUAAUCUUUGAAAUUCCACAUGUAUCAUAAUAAAAGAUAAUUCUAUAAUAACUGUAAAAUCGAACACAUAAUUGCAUAUACUUGAUUUAUAAGUACUUAAAAAAUAUUUAAGUUUAUCUACUCACAGAACUAUAUACGCCAAAAUCAACUUGGUUUGUAAACUGUCCCGUUAUUCGUAUCGCCGCCUAAAAUAUGAUAUAAUUUUUAAAUCAACAAUUAACUAUUUUAAGUAAUUUCAAUAAUUAAAUAGACGAAACCCAAACUAAUUAUUUCACAUUUAAGUGAUUUCUAAAGUCUCUUUAAUCACUUAAACAAAUUUUUCUUUCACUUAACUCAAUUUCAUAACUUAUUAUACUUAAUUCAAUGAUUCGCUUUCAAUAAAAUUGAAUUUAAACUAACAAUCUAACAACUAUCAAAUUAAACACAACUAUGUAAUGAGCAACUUUUUACUUACCGUUUGAAAUUGAGAAAUUCAAGCUUAAUAGUAGGAAGCACUUAAUUCCUAACAAUGUUGGUGAACUUUACUAUUUUUUCUUCUUCCUCCUGCUUUUUUGCUUUCUCUUUUCUCUUUCUUUUCUCUCGGUAUCGUUUUCUCUUUUUGUGUGUAUUGUGUGUGUUUAUAGUUUGAAAUGGAUUUUGAUUGAAUUAUCAAUCCAAUUCCACCAGCAAAAUCUUUUUCUUUUAUUUGUUUUUAGUUUUUAUUUAUGACAUCUUUGACUUUUCUUUUCUUUUUUGUUUACUAAAUUAAGGUAUUACAGAACUCAUCCCCUUAAUAGAAUUUCGGUCCUCGAAAUUCAAUUGACUAAGUACUAAAAAUCUAGGGAUACUGAGAAUGCAUCUACUCUUUACUUUUCCACGUCUCUUCUUCUACAAUAUGAUUCAUCGACAAGAUUUUAACCAAAGGAAUAGUCUUAGUACACACAUAUUCCUUUCUAUCCAAUAUCUGAACUGGCUCUUCUUCAAACGUAAGAUUUUCUUUCGGCUCUACUAAUUGUAAUUCCAAAAUAUGAGAUGGAUCUGAAAUAUACUUACGAAACAUGGAAACAUGGAAUAUGUCGUGAAUUCUGGACAAUUCAAUUGGCAAAGCCAACCGAUAAGCAACUAGACCAAUACGUUCAACAAUCUUAUAUGGGCCAACAUACCUCGGACUCAAUUUACCCUAUUUACCAAAUCUAAUAACACCUUUUAAUGGCAAUAAUCGCAGAAAAACUCGGUUCCCAAAUUCAAAUUCAAUGUUUAUUCUGCGUCUAUCUGCAUAGUUCUUCUGUCUAUUUUGGCCUGUCUUUAACUUUUCUUUAAUUAUUUUCUUUAAUUAUCUUUACUUUCUCAGCAGUAAUCUGAACAUAUUCAGGACCUAAUAACUUUCUUUCGCCUACUUCAUCACAACAUAUUGGAGUUUUGCAUUUCCCACCAUCUCUAUCUAAAACAAUAGAUACUAGUGCCUUAUACAAAUUAAGUACCUCAUGAACAUAUAUUUUUGCCGAUUCAUCUAUCGAGUAAGGGACUUUAAUAGGCAAAAAUUUGGUAGUCUUCGUCAAUCUGUCUACAACGAUCCAUAUGCCGUCAUGCCCACUCUAAGUCCGUGGAAGUCCAAAUAAGAAAUCCAUAGUAACGCGCUACCAUUUCCACUCAGGAAUAGACAAUGUUUGUAAUAAUCCUACUGUUUUCCAAAGAUCUGGUUUUACUUGCUGGCAAAUGAGACAUUCGAAUCCAAACUCAACUAUUUCUCUCUUCAUUCCAUGCCACAAAUAGUGUUCUUUAAGUACAUGAUACAUUUUAGUAUUACCUGGAUGCAUCGUGUAAGCUGAACUAUGUGCCUUUAAUAGAAUUUCUCUUUUCAAUUUCGAUUCGUCUGGAACACAUAAUCUAUUUUCGACAGCUAAAGCUCCAUCAUCUAAAUGGUAUAAUCUGUAUUCUUUUACUAACCUCUUCUUUUAAUUGGAUCAACACUGGAUCUUGAGUUUGAGCUUCUCUAACUUUGUUAAUCAAGGUAGGUCUCAUUUGAAAGUUGGUAAACAAUGCGCCUACACUAUUAACUAACAAUUGGACAUGUAAAGCUCUGACCUCACCAAAUAAGGAAGAAUAUACUGCAUUAGUCGGGUUCAUAGGACGCGAUGUCUUCGUACUAAGAGCAUCAGCAACUACAUUAGCAUUCCUUGGAUGAUAAUCAAUAUUAUAGUCGUAAUCUUUUAUCAACUCUAACCAUCUUCUUUGCCUCAAGUUCAACUCUUUUUGAUAAAAAAUAUACUUUAAACUUUUAUGAUCUAUGUAUAUCUGACAUCUCUCACCAUACAAGUAAAUGUCUCCAAAUCUUCAAUGCUAGGACAACUACAGCUAGCUCUAAGUCAUGUGUAGGAUAACUUAGUUCAUAUUUCUUCAACUGUCAGGAAGCAUGCUCUAUAACUUUCCCAUUCUGUAUCAAAACACAACCAAAAUCCUGAUGUGAAGUAUCACUAUAUAUCACAAACUCUUCAUCGGGAGAAGGAAGGGUAAGAACUGAAGCUGACACUAAUCGAUUCUUCAAUCGGAGGGAACUUCUUUCACAAUCUUCAUUUCAAACAAAUUUAGCAUUCUUUCUAAUCAGACUGGUAAAAAAAAGAGCAAUCUUAGAAAAUUCCUCUAAAAACGAUGGUAAUAACCUCUAAGCCAAAAAAAACUUCGUAUUUCUGUCAUAUUAAUAGGCAUUUUCCAUUUUACCACUAUCUCAGUUUUCUACGAGUCAACAUAAAUUCCCUCUACAUGUACGACAUGUCCAGAAAAUAUCACUCUAUAAAGCAAAAAUUGACAUUUACUGAACUUAGCAUAUAACUACGUAUAGCGUGGAGUUUACAAAAUGAUUCUGAGAUACUCUGUGUGCUCAUCAUGAUCUGGAGAGUAGAUUAAAAUAUCAUAGAUGAAUACAAUCACAAAUAUGUCUAAAUACGAGCAAAACACUCUAUUCAUCAUAUCCAUAAAUGCUGCUGGUACGUUGGUAAACUCAAAUGGCAUCACAAUGAACUUAUAAUGACCAUAUCUUGUCCUGAAAGAAGUUUUCGGCACUUCACUAUCCUCGAUUUUAAGUUCAUGAUAUCCAAAACAUAUAUAAAUCUUUCAGAAUACUGCAGCACUGUGAAGUUGAUCAAACAAAUCAUCAAUACGUGGAAAAUGAUAUUUAUUGCGAAUUGUCACUUUGUUCAACUGUCUAUAAUAUAUACACAAUUGCAUGGUGCCAUCACUCUUCUUCACAAAUAGGAUUGGUUCUCCUCACGGAGAUACAUUAGGUCUGAUAAAGCCCUUAUCCACCAACUCUUGCAACUGAACUUUUAGCUCUUUCAAUUCUUUUGGUGGCAUUCUAUAUGGUGUCUAUGAAAUAGAUGCAGUUCCUAGAAUCAAAUCUAUGGUGAACUCAAUAUCCCUGUCUGAUGGUAAACCUGGUAGUUCCACUAGAAACACAUCCCAAAAGUCUCUGACUACUGGGAUGUCUUCAAUUUUUAGUUUGUUAACAUCCAUAUCAAUCAUAUGAACCAAUUAUACAUACCAGUCCUAAUUGAGUAAUCUUCUAUCGUCAAUAACAGAAAUUAUACAAGAUAGUAAAAUUCUAUGCUAUCCAUUUAAUAUAACUUCAAACUGUCCUAGCUAUCUAAAUGCAACCUCUUUUCGAAACAAUCAGUUGAAGCUCGAUUUGUAGCCAGCAAGUCUAUACUCAAGAUAACAUCAAAAUCACAUAUUUCAAGAGAUAUCAAAUUUUCCUUGAGCUCGUGCUCCUUUACCUUAAUCCCACAAUCUUAAUAUAUAUAGUUUGCUAUUAGUGAUUCUCCUAUAGGUGUACACACUAUUAAACAACUGCCUAAAGGUUUUGGCUUUUGAUGCGCAUAUAAAGCAAAUGCAAAUGAAAUAAAAGAAUGUGUAAAUCCAGAAUCAAUCAAAAUAAGAGCAUAUCUAUUAAAAAUAGACAGCAUACUCAUUAUAACAUCUGGUGACUCCUCUGCCGCUUGUUGAGUUAUAGGAAAAAUCUUUCCCUGGGUCUUCAGCUAUCCUACUUAACCUUUUGAUUUCGUACCACUACCACUUGCAAAAUUUGACUAGGCUACGUUGUUUGCACCUAUUCUAUUAGCUAAAGCAUCUCUCGGAGUGUGAUUCUAUCUGGUACUAUCAACACUCUACUGAAUAGGCAUAUCCUCUGUACCAUGUCACUCUCCCAUGAUAGAACUGGACAAUUUCUUUUAAUAUGUUCGCCUUGGCCACAAUGAUACCUGACAGCGCUUCCUCUGAGCUUUAAGCACGUGCCAAGAUGAGGUCUUUCACAAAACUGACAAUAAGGAAGUCUAGUACUAGUAGAGCUCUCGAUCUGUCUCGAAGUAAAUAAUCUUUGGAAGAACCAUGAGUAUGAGGAUGACUAGUCAAUGGUUGCUGCAUAGUAUUGUCAUUGAAUCUAGGACCCUGACUUCCACAUGAUUGAGACUUGAAUUGACCUGAAUUGGACACACCAGGUCAAAAUUCUCUACUGUUUCUCUAAGAUGGUCUAUAGUUAGAAGCACAUGCCAUUGCCUGACUACUACUUGCUUUAAAUAUUAUUUGUUCUCUACCACUUGGUCUAUCAGAAAUGCUCUUUUCUACUCUCAAAAUUGAUUCCACUAAUUUGCCAAAUUCAUUCCAAUCUGUAGCUGUUACUGUUGACUUGAUCUCUUUCCUUAACCCAUUUUCAAACCGUCUACAUUUAUCAAUUUCGUUGCUUACCAGAACUUGGGCAUACUUUGAAAGUUCAAUAAAUUUCACCUGAUAUUUUGCAACAGUCAUCUAUCCCUGUACUAACUUCAAAAAUUCCUCAUUCUUUGCAUCUUUAUAGGAACGAGGGUAAUAGACAUUAUAAAAAAUACAUCUAAAAUCUAUCCAAGUAAUACGAGAAGAGUCUCGAUAGGUGCUCUAUACUGAUUGUCACCAAUCAUAUGCACCCCCAUCCAAUAAAAAAGUAGCAAGACACAACUUUCGAUCAUCUGGGCAACCCAUAACAUCAUAUACUCUUUCUAUCUUGGUCAUACAUGCUUGAGCAACUGCAGGAUCGACUGUGCCUGUGAAAACUUUAGCCCCUAAUUUUGUAGUUCUCUUAAUACUGAAAUCUCGAUCAAUACUACGCAUAGCAGAGGCAACAGUAGUAGCAAUUCUCUCAACAAUCACAUGAUUAUUUCCAAUUACAUUUCCCUAUCUCCGAUGCUUAGGAUGGUAGUGAACUGAUUCAUCUAUUCUCUUGGAUUCUCUAUGUUCAUCUCUAUCAAGAGCAAUGUGAGACCAGGGCAACAUAUCUUUAUGCCUUCGAGUUCUGUUACCACCAGUCAUGAGUCACCUACAGUUAUGCAUAAUAUGCUAAACAUUAGAAUGUAUAAAUGUAUAAUGCAAACUUGUAUACUCUAAAGCAUGCUCUGAUACCAAACUGACACUUUCCACCCCGUGUAACACUAUUGGACUCAGAACGUUAUAUGCAUCGAUGAUACCAACUAAAGUUCGAACCCAUCUUCAAGGCUACUACAUCUACAAUAUGCAACUUUUUAAAAUUUACUUUUUUAACAGAAUUUCGAUAUUAUCUCCCCUAUAAAUAUAACUAACCAAUUUUGUAAUCCACUAUACACAAAUAACGAUAAGCCGAAAUCUCAAUAUUUAUCAAGAUAAUAAUAUGAAGUGUACAUAUGGAUAAGCCCCAUGACUAUCUCUAAAUGAUGCAAAAUCACAUGUGAACAUGAACAUGCAUCCCAAAAGAAUGGACAACAUGCUCUAUGAAGUGAGUUAUACUAGCAAACAUUGUCGUGUGACUCUGACUCCAAAAUCAAAGGCUCAACUGCAAAAGGUGCCCUGAUACUCAAUUGUUGCCUAAUAAAAAAAUAUGAAAAAAUAUAUGAGUUGAUAGCUUAGUGAGUGGAGGAGUUCGAAAAUAAUUACACUUUUUCAUUUAUACAUUUUUAUCGAAAAUUAAGUUCAUAACAUUUAAUACUUCACUAGAAAAUAUCAUACAAUUAUAGCCAAAAAAAUGAAACAUCCACAUAAGAUCGUAAAAUAUCAUCUCAAAAUCACGUUAUAAACAUUAGACGGUAACCAUACUAUAAUCUCAUCACAUUAAAUGUACUAAAAAUCCACAAAAAAUAUACCCUCUAACUGAAAUCUGUAAGGUAGUCAUAUGCGCGUAGACUGCCUCUUAGGCUAAGCACUUUCGACACGAGCCUCAAGCCCUCUCAGUGAACGGAAGUCGGCCUCAAAGAUAUUUCACAAUCAAUUCUAGAAUACAGCCAAAACCUCUCAGUGAACUAUAUGAACACAGUCAAGUCCCUUUCAUCCCUAGUCAAGACUCCUUAGUGUAAUAUAGAACACGGCCAUGACUCUUCAGUGAACUAGAAGAAAUAAAUAAUCAUGGUUACUUUUCUGACCGAUCUCAAUAUCACAUAGGUCUCACAUACCAGGACUAAGGCACAAAUGUACCGCAAAUAAUUCUUGACAUUCCCAUGUAUUAUAAUAAAAGAGAUUUCCAUGACAAUCAUAUAAUCGAACACAUUAUUGCACAUGCUUUAAUAAUAUUUUUAAUUUACAAAUAUUUUUAAAAUAUUUAAGUUUUUCCACUCACAGGAUUAUGUACGCAAAAAUAACUCGAUUGGUAAGAUAUCCCGAUAUCCGUAUCACCGCCUAAAAUAUGAUAUAACUUUUAGAUUAACAAUUAACUAUUUUAAGUAAUUUCAAUAAUUAAAUAGGCAAUACCAAAUUCAAAUCUUUUUAUACUUAAACAAUUUUCCCAAUGUCUUUAAUCAUUUGAGCUAUUUUUUCCUUUCCUUAAUUUAAUUUCAUAGCUUAUUACACUUAAUUCAGUAAUUCCUUUUCAAUAAAAUUAAAUUUAAACUAACAAUCUAACAACUAUAGAAAUAAACAUAACUUUCCAAUAAAUAAGUUUUUACUUACCUUUAAAUUUGAAGAAUUCAAGCCUACUAAUAUAAACCAUUUAUUUUCUAACAACUUAGCGAAUUUUUCUAUUUUUUUCUUCUUUUUCUCUCCUCUUUCUUUUCUUCCUACUCUCGUUUUCUUUCUAGUGUACGUUUUUGUGUGACAAAUUGAUUUGGGUUGUAUAUAUAUAAAUGGGAAUGGAUUUCGAUGACUUUGGUGGAUAUAUAUGCCUGCCAAUUCAUUUUUUUCCUUCAAAUCUUUAAUUUUGUUGAACAAAUUUUCCGUUGACUUUUCUUUUACUUAGUUAAAGUAUUACAAAACUCACCCCUUAAAAGAAUUUCAUUUUCGAAAUUCAAUUGACUAAGUACAAAAUAGCUAUGGACAUGUCGCUUCUUCUACAGUACGAUUCAUCCACAAGGCUUUAACCAAAGGAAUAGUCUUACUACGCAAGAUAUGUUCCUUUCUAUCCAAUAUCUGAAUUAGUUCUUCUUCAUAGGUAAGAUUUUCUUUCAACUCUACUGGUUGUGAUUCCAAAACAUGGGAAGUAUCUGGAACAUACCUAUGAAGCAUGGAAACAUGGAAUACAUCAUAAAAUUCUAGACAAUUACAUUGGCAAAGCCAAUCGAUAAGCAACUGGACCAAUGCCUUCAACAAUCUCAUAUGGGCCAAUAUACCUCGAACUCAACUUACCCCGUUUACCAAAUCUAAUAACACCUUUUCAUGGCGAUAAUCGUAGGAAAACUCUAUCCCCAAAAUCAAAUUCAAGGUUCCUUUUACGUCUAUCUGCUUAAUUCUUAUAUCUAUCUUGGGCGUUAUUUAACUUUUCUUUAAUUAUCCUUAAUUUCUCAGUAGUAAUUUGAACAUAUUUAGGACCUAAUAACUUUGUAUCGCCUACUUCAUCCAACAUACUGGAGUUCUGCAUUUCCUACCAUACAGUGCUUCGAAAGGAACCAUUUCCAUGCUCGAAUGAUAACUUUUAUUAUAAGCAAACUCCAUCAAAGGAAGAUGAGUAUCUCAAUUCCCUUUAAACCUUAGUACACAAGCUCGUAACAUGUAUUCUAAAGUCUUAAUAGUUCUUUUUGACUGACCAUCUGUCUCUGGAUGAAAAGGUAACUAAAAUGUAGUUUAGUACCAAUAGCUUUCUUCAAACUGGGCUAAAAUUCAGAAGUGAAACGAGAAUCUCUAUCUGAAACAAUAGAUACUGGUGCCCCAUACAAUCUUAUUAUCUCAUCAACAUAUAUUUUUGCUAAUUUAUCUAGCGAGUAAGUGACUUUAAUAGGCAAAAAUUUAACAAUCUUCCUAAAUCUGUCUAUAAUGAUCCAUAUGUCGUCAUGCCCAUUCUAGCUCCAUGGAGUCCAAAUAAGAAGCUCAAAGUAAUGUGCUACAAUUUCCACUCAGAAAUAGGCAACGUCUGUAAUAAUCCUACUCUUUUCUGACGAUCUGGUUUUAUUUGCUAGAAAAUGAGAUAUCCGGAUACAAACUUAGCUAUUUCUCUCUUCAUUCCAUGCCCCAUCUAGUGUUUGUGUACACGAUACAUUUUAGUACUACCUGGAUGCAUUGCGUAAGAUGAAUAUGUGCCUAUGCUAGAAUUUCUGUCUUCAAUUUUGAAAAGUCUGGAACACAUAGUCUACUUCUGAUAACUAAAACUUCAUCAUCUCGAAUGGUGUAAUAUGUAUUCUUACCUUUACUAACCUCUUCUUUCAAUCCGUUCAAAAUUAGAUCUUGAGUUUGAGCUUCUCUAACUGUGUUAAUUAAGGCAAGCCUCACUUGAAAGUUGGCAAACAAUGGUCCUACAUUGGUAACUGACAAUUGGACAUGUGAAGCUUUGAAGUCACCAAACAACGAAGAACAUACUGCAUUAGUCAGGUUCAUAGGACUCGAUGUCUUCCUACUGAGAGUGCCAGCAACUACAUUAGCCUUUUCUGGAUGAUAAUCAAUGAUGCAGUCGUAAUCUUUUAUCAACUCUAACCAUCUUCUUUGCCUCAGGUUCAACUCUUUCUGAUCAAAAUAUACUUUAAGCUUUUAUAAUCUGUAUAUAUGAGACAUCUCUCACCAUACAAGUAAUGUCUCCAAAUCUUCAAUGCUAGGACAACUGCAACUAGCUAUAAGUCAUGUGUAGGAUAACUCAAUUCAUGUUUCUUCAACUAUCAGGAAGCAUACACUAUAACGUUCCCAUUCUGCAUCAAAACACAACCAAGACCCUGACGUGAAGCAUCGCUAUAUAUCACAAACUCUUUAUCGGGAGACGGAAGGGUAAGGACUAGAGCUGACACUGAUCGAUUAUUCAAUCAGAGGGAACUUCUUUCACAGUCUUCAUUCCAAACAAAUUUAGCAUUUUUUCUAGUCAAACUGGUUAAAGAAAUAGCAAUCUUAGAAAAAUCCUCUACAAAACGACAGUAAUAACCUGCUAAGCCAAGAAAACUUCGUAUUUUUGUCACAUUAGUAGGCCUUUCCCAUUUUAUCACUGCCUCAGUUUUCUGCGAAACAUAAAUUCCCUCUGCAUAUAUAACAUGUUCCAAAAAUAUCACUCUAUCAGCCAGAAUUCACAUUUACUGAACUUAGCAUAUAACUGCUUAUCACGUGGAGUCUGCAAAAUGAUUUUGAGAUGCUCUAUGUGCUCAUCAUGAUCUUGAGAGUACACUAAAAUAUCAUCGAUGAAUACAAUCACAAAUCUGUUUAAAAACGAGCAAAACUCUAUAUUCAUCAUAUCCAUAAUGCUGCCGGUACGUUGGUCAACCCAAAUGGCAUCACGAGGAACUUAUAUUGACCAUAUCUUGUCCUGAAAGCAAUUUUUGGCACAUCACUGUCCUCGAUUUUAGGUUGAUGAUAUCUAGAACGCAAAUUAAUCUUUAAGAAUACUGCAGCACCACGAAGCUUAUCAAACAUAUUAUCAAUAUGUGGAAAGGAAUAUUUAUUGCGAAUUGUCACUUUGUUCAACUGUUUGUAAUCUAUGCAAAGUCGCAUGGUGCUAUCUUUCUUCUUCACAAAUAGGACUGUGCUCUUGACGGAGAUACACUAGAUCUGAUAAAGCCCUUAUCCACCAACUCUUGCAACUGAACCUUUAGCUCUUUCAAUUCUGCUGGUGUCAUUCUAUAUGGUGCCCAUGAAAUAGGUGCAAUUCCUGGAAUAAUUAAAUAGACGUACCAAAUUCGAAUAUUUUUUUACUUAAAUAAAUUCCCCAACUUUUUUAAUCAUUAAAGUUUUUUUUUUUUUUGCCUUUCCUUAAUUUAAUUUCAUAGCUUAUUACACUUAAUUCAAUAAUUCCUUUUCAAUAAAAUUGAAUUUAAACUAACAAUCUAACAACUAUAAAAUUAAAUAACUAAGUUUUUACUUACCUUUAAAUUUGAAAAAUUCAAGCAUACUAGUAUAAACAACUUAUUUUCUUAACAACUGGGCGAAUUUUUCUAUUUUUUUUUUCUUCCUCUCUUUUUCUUCCUUCUUUUUCUUUCCUGUUUUCUCUUUCUUUUCUCCUUGCUCUCGUUUUCUUUCUAAGGUGUGUUGUGUGUGUUUUUGUGUGACAAAUGGAUUAGGGUUGUCUAUAUAUAUAUAUAUAUAUAUAUAUAUGGGAAUGGAUUUGGAUGACUUUGGUGGAUAUAUAUAUAUAUAUCCACUGCCUACCAAUUCGUUUCUUUUUUUUUCAAAUCUUUAAUUUUGUUGACCAAAUCUUUUAAUUUUCUUUUACUUAGUUAAAGUAUUACAAAAGGACUUUUUAGAAUUCGACAAAGGUAUAAUUUCUAUCACAGUUUCUUUCUAAAUACAAAGCAGAUUCUUGGUGAAAAUUAAAAUUUUGCUUAAAUUUCGGUGUGCACGAUUAAGUAAAUUCUUAACAACAGAAUCCUCCAACUACCAUACAGGUAUUAGUCAUGAUAUAUCACAACCUCCCAUUGACACUUUGGAAGCAAAUCAACCUGUUCUGGCACAUUUACCUCAUAGGUCUGGAAGAAAUAAAAGGGCUCCUUCUCACUUGUAAGACUUCAUAUUUCAGCAAGUUUCGUUACCUCCUCCAUCUCAGAAGUUGGACAAGCAAAGUAAGUGAACACUGCAUGUAGUCUCUUUUUCCUUAGUUAUAGUAUUUCCUAUGAUAAACUGUCUACACUUCACUAUGUUUUUGUAGCUUCCAUAAGAAAUCACUACGAGCCUUGGAACUAUCAAGAAGCCAUGACCUUUCCUGAAUGGUGUGCAGUCAUGAAAGCCGAGAUUGAGGCUCUAUAACUUAAUUAUACUUGGUUUUUGGUUGAUCAACAACUUUCUGCUGCAAAUGAGUUUACAAACACAAAUUUAAUUUUGAUGUAGUAUUGAGAGGUUCAAAGAACAUCUUGUGGUAAAGGGAUACACUCAACGGGCUUGACUACUAUAAAACCUUUUUCUCAUGUGGCUAAGUUAGUCAUUGUUAGAACCUUGUUAGUAGUGGCAACAAUCAAGUGCUGGAAUUUAUGCUAAUUUGACGUAGAUAAUGCUUUCUUACAUGGUGAUUUAGAUGAGGAUGUUUACAUGGUCCUGCCCCCCGGUUAUUCAAUUGUCAGUGGCAACAAAGUCUACAAACUUUACAAAAGCUUGUAUGGAUUGAAGGAAGCUUCACAUCAAUGGAAUAAAAUCUCUAAGUUUAUUAUUGAGCAAGGGUACAUCCAAUUAAAAACAUAUUAUAGUUUAUUUAAUAAAUCUACUAUCGGCUCUGUUACUACUAUUUUAGUUUAUGUAGACGAUAUAAUAAUGACAGAAAAUUAUGUUGGUACUAUCAAUUAUUUCAAAGUCUCUCAAUGACAAGUUCAAAUUAAAGACCUAGCCAGGAAAGUUGAAGUACUUCCUAGGGAUUGAAGUGGCCAGAUCUUUGCGUGGCAUUGAUAUAUGCCCGAGAAAAUACUCUUUAGAUAUUUUGGUAGAUUCAGGCACCAUUGGUUCAGCUCUGACUAGGAUUUCCUUUGAUCCGAAUGUGACAAUUAGCAAGGAAGAUGGAAGAGUUGCUCACGGAUGUAACAUUUUACAAAAGAUUACUUGAAAGGUUACUUUAUUUAACAAUCACUUGGCCUAAUCUUGAAUGCUCAAUCCAGUUGUUAACGAUCUUACUUUAUUUAACAAUCACUAGGAUGCCACAUCUACGUGUUGCUCAUAAAAUAUUUCGAUACAUCAAAAGAAAACCUGGACAAAUGUCGUUUUAUCCUACAAAUUCAAAAUUGAAGCUGGAAUGUUAUUGUGAUACAAACUAGGGGGCUUACCUUCUCAGCAGAAAAUCGGGAACAGACUAUAAUGUAUUUAUUGGGACAGCUUUAGUAUCAUGGAAAUUGAAGAAAAAACAUGUGGUACCUCGAUCCUCUGCUGAAGUAGAGUACAUGCCAAUGGCAACCUUUGUUUUGCUGUGAGUUAACUUGGCUCAGGUAUUUGAUUAAGGACUUAUAGAUUACACAUCAUCAAGCAGUGGUUCUACAUUGUGAUAAUAAGUUUACAACAGUCACAGACACAGUCUUUCAUGAAAGAACCAAACACAUAGAGCUUGACAGCCAUCUUGUUCGAGAAAAGAUAUAAGAUGGCAGCAUCAUCAAUCAACAUGUCUCUAGUGCAUCACAAAUUGCAGACAUUUUAACCAAAGCUCUAAAUUCCCAAAACUUAUACUUUUGUAGGCUCAAGAUGGAAGUAGUGAAUGUUUACUCUCCAUCUUGCAGGGACUAUUGAAGCACUGGCAUAGUUAGUAGGAAGAAAGUCAGCUGGGAUCAGUGACAAGGCAGCAACAGAAGAAGAGCUUAGAAGGAGGGGAGAAGAAGCUUCCAGAAAAUAGAAAAUAAUGAUAUUCGUAUAGAUCGCAUUCUGUUAUUGUACAGCUUGAAUUUUUUAUUUGUGUAAAGUUUUGACAGCUGCAUUCUUCGUAUAGAUGGAAUCGGUAAGUGCAGAUUCUUCUAUAUCUUUAUAUAUAUAUAUACCACUAUUGUACAUUUAAC
This 13425-nucleotide long non-coding RNA is filed under the name Olea europaea (common olive). Its description in RNAcentral is "long non-coding RNA (OEUR_LNC003587)". Lineage: Eukaryota; Viridiplantae; Streptophyta; Magnoliopsida; Lamiales; Oleaceae. The record is from RNAcentral.